Molecule: long non-coding RNA, 985 nt
Organism: Harmonia axyridis
Lineage: Eukaryota; Metazoa; Arthropoda; Insecta; Coleoptera; Coccinellidae
Exons: 2
Source: RefSeq, a predicted model, not a curated record
UUUCUUCUGUCAUCCGGGGUGAUUUGAAUGUUUGGAAAUUUCUUCAUCUCGGGGUUGUGGAGUAGAACUCAUUCCCAUUUCCAUGAAGUUUCCAAGUGUCGGUGAAAAAUUCAAACGCCGUCUUCCUUCUUCGGUCAUCCGGGGUGAUUUGAAUGUGUACAUGUUUGGGGAAUUUCUUCAUCUCGGGGUUGUGGAGUAGAACUCAUUCCCAUUUCCGUGAAGUUUCCAAGUGUCGGUGAAAUAAUCUAAUGUCAGGUGUGGAUUAUCCCAUUCUCCGGUGAGUAGUUCCGUGAUUUCCAUAUCUCGAUGAAUCAUGCCAUAUUAUUUCAGAGGGACGUCGAAGUUCCCAGUCAGAUGAGUCGAAACCAUUCCAAACUCAUUGAUAUACUGGUUGAUUUACCUGUGGAUAUUACAAGGAAUCAGUGACUGUAUGGUGAAAUUUUCAGAACGGUGAAAAUUCUUCCAGUUAUACAGUUUAAAUUAUCUAUAGGAAAAUUGAAAUGGAAUCCAAAUGUCCACCAGAGUAAUAAUUGACAGGCCAUGAUGUCCAACUCUUCUAGUACUUCUUCCUUGGAUGAUGACAUGAUUAAAUCUUCAGGACUGACUGAUUACAUGUCUUCGGUGGAAUUGGGCCUACAGCUGAUCAUCCGAUGAAAGGUGUGUUGCCUAUCUCCAGCAUUUAUUCUCAUCGGUGUUGCAGUAUGGGAGACCUGUGCAGUUGGCAGUGGGAGUUCAUCAUCUUCCAAAUCUAUCAGUGAUGUCUUCAGUUGUGCAACCUUGGUUGGUUGAAUGGGAGACAUCUCAGGCGACUGUGGAAUCUCUGCCUCCAAAAGCGAUCCAUCCGGUCGGGUUGAUGGUUGCUGUCUGUCAGCAGUCAACGUUGCCUCCAAUGAACUCAAGGCCCGAGCUGCAGUCUCCUUUAAGUGUUCUAUCAUCUGUGACUCGGUUUCAUUUUUAGUGAUAAUAAAAUUCAGUCUUCUCUGAA